RNAcentral lists this small nuclear RNA (107 nucleotides) under Sciurus vulgaris (Eurasian red squirrel). The record is from RNAcentral. Lineage: Eukaryota; Metazoa; Chordata; Mammalia; Rodentia; Sciuridae.
GUGCUCAGUUCAGCAGCACAUACACUAAAACUGGAACCAUACAGAGAAGAUUAGCAUGGCACCUGUGCAAGGAUGACAUGCAAAUUUGUGAAGUGUUUCCUAUUUAG